This 940-nucleotide non-coding RNA is filed under the name Pteragogus cryptus (cryptic wrasse). RNAcentral's name for it is "partial 12S ribosomal RNA". It matches the Rfam family "Bacterial small subunit ribosomal RNA". Lineage: Eukaryota; Metazoa; Chordata; Actinopteri; Labriformes; Labridae. The record is from RNAcentral.
CACAAAAGCUUGGUCCUGGCUUUACUGUCAGCUCUAGCUGGACUUACACAUGCGAGUAUCCGCAACCCGGUGAGAAUGCCCUUAGACUCCUCAACUGGAACUAAGGGGCGGGCAUCAGGCACCUUCUUAGAGCCCACGACGCCUUGCUUAGCCACACCCCCAAGGGAAUUCAGCAGUGAUGAAUAUUAAGCUAUGAGUGAAAACUUGACUUAAUCACAGCUUAGAGGGCUGGUUAAUUUCGUGCCAGCCACCGCGGUUAGACGGGAGGCCCAAGUUGACAGCUCACGGCGUAAAGGGUGGUUAAGACUAUUUAUUAAACUAAAGCCGAAAUACCACAAAACUGUUAUACGUUCACGAGGUUAUGAAGCCCAACUACGAAAGUGGCUUUACGAUUCUGACCCCACGAAAGCUAGGACACAAACUGGGAUUAGAUACCCCACUAUGCCUAGCCCUAAACUAUGGUAGUACUAUUACAAAUGCUACUCGCCCGGGUACUACGAGCGUGUGCUUGAAACCCAAAGGACUUGGCGGUGCUUUAGAUCCCCCUAGAGGAGCCUGUUCUAGAACCGAUAAUCCCCGUUAAACCUCACCUUUUCUUGUCAGGCCCGCCUAUAUACCGCCGUCGUCAGCUUACCCCGUAGGGUCCUACAGUAAGCACAAUUGGCACUGCCCAAAACGCCAGGUCGAGGUGUAGCGAAUGAAAAGGGAAGAAAUGGGCUACAUUCAUUAAUACAAUGAAUACGGACAAUGACCUGAAAUGGUUAUUUUAAGGAGGAUUUAGUAGUAAGUGGGAAAUAGAGUGUCCCGCUGAAACCGGCCCUGAAGCGCGUACACACCGCCCGUCACUCUCCCCAAGCCCGCUUUUAUUAAUUUUUAAUACCCCAAUGGCAUUAAGGGGAGGCAAGUCGUAACAUGGUAAGUGUACCGGAAGGUGUACUUG